Urocitellus parryii (Arctic ground squirrel) is the source of this 536-nucleotide non-coding RNA. Lineage: Eukaryota; Metazoa; Chordata; Mammalia; Rodentia; Sciuridae. The record is from RefSeq and is a predicted model, not a curated record.
GCGCCCCCGCGGCCAGCCCCGAGCGGUGUCCUCCCGGGAGCCGCCUCCCCGCGGCCUCUUCCCUUUUGUCGUGGAGCCAGCGCUUGCGGGUCACUCUCCCCGCCGCCCCUGCUCCGCGCGCUCCUCUGCUCGGUGCCGCGAUUGUCGACAUGCUGCGCUGCGGCCUGGCCUGCGAGCGCUGCAGGUGGAUCCUGCCCCUGCUCCUGCUCAGCGCCAUCGCCUUCGACAUCAUCGCGCUGGCCGGCCGCGGCUGGCUGCAGUCGAGCGACCACAUCCAGACGUCCUCGCUGUGGUGGAGAUGCUUCAGUGAGGGCGGCGGCAGCGGGUCCUACGACGAUGGCUGCCAGAGCCUCAUGGACUACGCGUGGGGAAGAGCGGCGGCUGCCAUGCUCUUCUGUGGCUUUAUCAUCCUGGUCAUCUGUUUCAUCCUCUCCUUCUUUGCGCUCUGUGGACCUCAAAUGCUUGUCUUCCUGAGAGAGCUAAAUGAAGAUCCCAGGAACUAUGUUAAAUCCCUCCCAAGGGCAUGCCUCCCAUAA